UCCGGUUUGUCACCGGCAGUCUCAUUAGAGUGCUCAACUGAAUGUAGCAACUAAUGACAAGGGUUGCGCUCGUUGCGGGACUUAACCCAACAUCUCACGACACGAGCUGACGACAGCCAUGCAGCACCUGUCACUCAUCCAGCCGAACUGAAGGAAACCAUCUCUGGAAUCCGCGAUGAGGAUGUCAAACGCUGGUAAGGUUCUUCGCGUUGCGUCGAAUUAAACCACAUGCUCCGCUGCUUGUGCGGGUCCCCGUCAAUUCCUUUGAGUUUUAGCCUUGCGGCCGUACUCCCCAGGCGGGGCACUUAAUGCGUUAGCUUCGGCACGGGGGGAGUCGACACCCCCCACACCUAGUGCCCAUCGUUUACAGCGCGGACUAC
This 380-nucleotide unclassified non-coding RNA is filed under the name uncultured bacterium. RNAcentral's name for it is "contains 16S-23S intergenic spacer region". The record is from RNAcentral.